UGGGGAAUUUUGGACAAUGGGCGCAAGCCUGAUCCAGCAAUGCCGCGUGAGUGAAGAAGGCCUUCGGGUUGUAAAGCUCUUUUGUCAGGGAAGAAACGGCUGCGGCUAAUAUCCGCGGCUAAUGACGGUACCUGAAGAAUAAGCACCGGCUAACUACGUGC
RNAcentral lists this ribosomal RNA (161 nucleotides) under uncultured bacterium. RNAcentral describes it as "partial 16S ribosomal RNA". It matches the Rfam family "Bacterial small subunit ribosomal RNA", at positions 355 to 508 of the family's 1533-position model. The record is from RNAcentral.